This is an RNA transcript of Carlito syrichta (Philippine tarsier), 761 nucleotides long. It is a transcript of the gene named 60S ribosomal protein L13 pseudogene, with no coding region annotated. The transcript is spliced from 2 exons. NCBI's taxonomy places the organism in Eukaryota, Metazoa, Chordata, Mammalia, Primates, Tarsiidae. The record is from RefSeq and is a predicted model, not a curated record.
AUGUGCACUAUGCUAACCUUAGUAGCAGAAGCAGGACUGAAAUUGAAGUUAAAUCAUCCGCAGCAAGAAUCUUUCAAGGAGGCCUCACAGGGACGGCCGCAGGCAGCCACGGCGCCCAGCCGGAAUGGCACGAUCCUGAAGCCACAUUCCAAGAGGACUGGCAGCGGCGUGUGGCCACGUGGUUCAAUCAGCCGGUCCAGAAGAUCCUCAGACCCAAGGCUGGGCGGGCCAUGAUCCGUCGCAUCGCCCAGCACCCCGCGUCGGGACCCGUCUGGCCCAUCCUCAGGUGCCCCACCCUGAGGUACCACACCUGAGUGAGAACCGGCAGGGGCUUUCAGCCUGGGGAAGCUGCGGAUGGCUGGCAUCCUCAAGAAGGUGGCCUGGACUGUCGGCAUCUCCGUGGACCCGAGAAGGCGCAACAAGUCCACCGAGUCCCUGCAGGCCAACGUGCAGCGGCUGAAGGGGUAUCGCUCCAAGCUCUUGCUCUUCCCCAGGAAGCCUUAGGCACCCAAGAAGGGAGACCGCUCAGCCGAAGAACUCAAGUUGGCCACCCAGCUAACCGGACAGGUCACGCCCAUUCGGAACAUCUACGAGAAGGAGAAAGCCAGAGUCAUCACUGAGGAGGAGAAGAACUUCAAGGCCUUUGCCAGCCUCCGCAUGGCCCGCGCCAACGCCAGGCUCUUUGGCCUUUGGGCAAAGAGGACCAAGGAGGCCGCAGAACAGGAUGUUGAGAAGAAAAAGUAAAGCCCUGUUGGGACUUG